Molecule: unclassified non-coding RNA, 367 nt
Filed under: fungal sp.
Lineage: Eukaryota; Fungi
Description: partial internal transcribed spacer region
Rfam family: Eukaryotic small subunit ribosomal RNA (bases 1-46)
Source: RNAcentral
AAGUCGUAACAAGGUUUCCGUAGGUGAACCUGCGGAAGGAUCAUUAUCACGUUAUCCACGUAUCAACCAUUGUGAACUAGUUUAUUGACCUUUGGAUUAGGAAGGUAGUGUUAUAUUAAACCGUUAUCAAACAAUUAAAUGAUUGGAAAUUGUUGAGGUUUAAUACGACCAAACAAAUUCGUUUGUUUACUUUCUAAUUCAGAGUGUAUUUAUUUUCCAAUCAAUUCUAUUUAUUAACCAUUAAAACCCAAAAUUUUUCUAAAUUUUGAACUGAUUUAAUUUCUUACUUUCAAAUUCAUUUUUGAGAGAAGAAAUAAAUGAUUACGAAACAUAAGAACAACUCUUAGCAACGGAUAUCUUGGUUCUC